GUAGUCCACGCUGUAAACGAUGGGUGCUAGCUGUUGGGAGGUUACCUCUCAGUAGCGUAGCUAACGCGUUAAGCACCCCGCCUGGGGAGUACGGUCGCAAGAUUAAAACUCAAAGAAAUUGACGGGGACCCGCACAAGCGGUGGAACAUGUGGUUUAAUUCGAGGCAACGCGAAGAACCUUACCAGGAUUUGACAUGCCUCCUAUGGAUUCCCGAAAAGGAAUCCUUCACUUCGGGUGGGGAGGACACAGGUGCUGCAUGGCUGUCGUCAGCUCGUGUCGUGAGAUGUUGGGUUAAGUCCCGCAACGAGCGCAACCCUCGUUCUCUGUUGCUAACAGGUUAGGCUGAGCACUCUGAGAAAACUGCCGGUGAUAAGCCGGA
This 380-nucleotide ribosomal RNA is filed under the name uncultured bacterium. RNAcentral's name for it is "bacterial SSU rRNA". It matches the Rfam family "Bacterial small subunit ribosomal RNA", at positions 790 to 1167 of the family's 1533-position model. The record is from RNAcentral.